AGGCAAGAUGUCGGCAUAGCUGAAGGUGUUUGAAACGGCUAUGUCUCAUCCGGCCAAC
This 58-nucleotide microRNA precursor is filed under the name Tribolium castaneum (red flour beetle). Its description in RNAcentral is "Tca-Mir-31_pre stem-loop". Lineage: Eukaryota; Metazoa; Arthropoda; Insecta; Coleoptera; Tenebrionidae. The record is from RNAcentral.